CCCAGUGUUUCAUUUGCUCUUGAUAGGAAAAAACCGAAAUGAAAGUAGAGUUUGGAGGUCAGCUCCUGCUUACCCUUCCCAUGAAUCCCAUUCCCAGCCCAUGCACCAAAAAUAUUUUACAGUCUCAACAAUGUAUCAAAAAUGUAGUAGGCUCUCGUGAGGUAUUGGCCAAAGUUUUUUGACUUACAACCAAGAAAAUUAAGGAAUGUGGACACAAAGGGUGAGGUUAGAAUGAAAGUUUAAUAAGUGAAAGAAGAAAGCUCUCUGUAUUAGGGAGAGGGCCUGAAUGGGUUGUCAACUGUGAGGUUGGGCCUGGGGUGUUUUUAACUGGGAAGGGAAGGAAUGUGUUGACUGGACUUGGAGAAACUGUUACUCAGCUUUGCCUUGGACCUAGGCCCAGCACCAAUUAGAGACUGAAGGGAAUGUUUUGUUCAGAACCUUGGUCCGAGCCCGGGAGCAAUCAGAGGCUGAAGUGGUGAUUCUUAGAGGCUCAGCUCACAGUCAAAAGCAUGUCCAAAAAAGGAAAGGAAAGUGCCCACCGAAACCCCUGUAGCCCGCAGUGUACAUAUCCACAAAAGGAGAAGAGACUAUUUUCUAGAAACCUGUUGGUUAUUCAAAGGACAAAGGCAUUUCUGUGUUGGGUCUUGUUCUCUUAUUAGUGUAGUUGUGGGCAUGUCUUAGGCACAAAGGACAAAGGUGUUUCUGUGUUGGGACUCGUUCUUUUAUCCGAGAGGGCCAGAGACUUGAGUAAGUUUCCUCAUCUGUGUCGGCAGCCUUAUUUUUUCAGACCAUUUCUCUGUUUAAAGGAGUUUUUCCAAGAACCUGACCUAACUGACUAACUUUUUUCUCUCAAUUCCACUCAUUAGGAAAUGAGAAGGGAAGACUUAGGAGGCAUAACGUCCAAUAGGGACUAGAUUGUGCAUCUCAUGGAAUACACUAUUCAGCCAUCCACUCAGUUAAUUGCAGGGAAAUUGAACUGUCACUCUGGUCACUGUGAGGUAAGGCCAGCUUUGGGGUUGCUUUGCAAGAAUUGCUCUAAAAAUGACAGAACAAUGUGCUUAAUCUUGGUAGAACUAUAACAUGAGAUGUCAAUAGAAAACAGCUGUCAGAUGGGGCCAGUUGCUUUUCAAUGAUCCGUUUUAUCCAGUAAGUAUAAGGUGUGUCUAGCAUACGUUAUAUUACGUUUUUACAAUUGAUUCAUAUGGAACGAGAUGUGUUUUUUCCAUGCUCCAGGGUGAAGCCAAUUUCUCUAAUUCAUUUGGGAACAGAAGUUACACUGGAGUUUAGUCAGCGUCCUCAGAGGACAGGUCUAUCACUGAAACUUGCGUCAUCAAAAUUGGAGGAAGAGGCCAGCAAGAAGUGAAAAUGCUGUAGGGAAAAUGCAUUGAUGUUCUCUGAAUUGGGCAGAUCAUCAACUCUUCUUACUCCUGUCUUUUAGGUUUCCAAAAGCCAGGCUGCCGAGGCCACCAAAGUGGCUAUUGAUGUAGGCUUCUGCCAUAUCGAUUCAGCAUACUUGUACCAAAAUGAGGAGGAGGUUGGGCAGGCCACCUGAGAGAAGAUUGCUGAUGGUGUCCUAAAGAGCGAGGACGUAUUCUGCACCACCAAGCUUUGGGCUACUUUCUUUCAGCCAGAAUACGUUCGCCUAGCCCUGGAAAGGUCACUGAAGAAACUUGGACUGGACUAUGUAGACCUCUUCAUUAUUCAUGUACCAUUCGCUAUGAAGGCUCAAAGCUGGCAGGAACCUUGAAUCUGAGAUGAACUUUUGUAGUUUGGAAUUUUAAGUUGGUGCUGGUCCAAGUUACAAGUUUUGGGAACUAUUGGGUUGAAAUGGUUACAUUUUGCAUGUAAGAAGGUUGUGAGGUUCUUGGGCCAAGGGCAUAACGCUGUAAUUGGCAUAUUUGACCCUCCAAACCAUAUGCUGAAUUCUCAAUGUCACUGUUCACUGAUGAUAUGAUCAUUUGAAACCCUAAGGACUCCUUCAGAAAGCUCCUAGAACUGAUAAAAUAAUUUGGCAAAGUUUCUGUAUACAAGAUUGCUGUAAUCAGUAGCUCUUCUAUAUAGCAACAGCCACCAAGUGGAGAAUCAAAUCAAUAAUUUAACCCCUUU
This is a long non-coding RNA of Sapajus apella (tufted capuchin), 2106 nucleotides long. RefSeq lists it as uncharacterized. The record is from RefSeq and is a predicted model, not a curated record. The transcript has 3 exons. Lineage: Eukaryota; Metazoa; Chordata; Mammalia; Primates; Cebidae.